Molecule: ribosomal RNA, 425 nt
Filed under: uncultured bacterium
Lineage: Bacteria
Description: partial 16S ribosomal RNA
Rfam family: Bacterial small subunit ribosomal RNA
Source: RNAcentral
GUGAGGAAUUUUGCGCAAUGGGGGCAACCCUGACGCAGCGACGCCGCGUGGAGGACGAAGUCUUUCGGGAUGUAAACUCCUGUCAGUGGGGACGAUAAUGACGGUACCCACAGAGGAAGCACCGGCUAACUCCGUGCCAGCAGCCGCGGUAAGACGGAGGGUGCAAGCGUUGUUCGGAAUUACUGGGCGUAAAGCGUAUGUAGGCGGCAAGUUAAGUUCAAUGUUAAAGCCCACGGCUCAACCGAGGAGAUGCAUUGAAUACUGGCUAGCUAGAGGGUGUUAGAGGAAGACGGAAUUCCCAGUGUAGCGGUGAAAUGCGUAGAUAUUGGGAGGAACAUCGGUAGCGAAAGCGGUCUUCUGGGACAUACCUGACGCUGAGGUACGAAAGCGUGGGGAGCAAACGGGAUUAGAUACCCGUGUAGUCC